This 336-nucleotide unclassified non-coding RNA is filed under the name soil metagenome. RNAcentral's name for it is "partial contains 5.8S ribosomal RNA, internal transcribed spacer 2, and large subunit ribosomal RNA". The stretch from base 1 to 120 matches the Rfam family "5.8S ribosomal RNA", at positions 35 to 154 of the family's 154-position model. The record is from RNAcentral.
GAUGAAGAACGUAGCGAAAUGCGAUAAGUAAUGUGAAUUGCAGAAUUCAGUGAAUCAUCGAAUCUUUGAACGCACAUUGCGCCCGCCAGUAUUCUGGCGGGCAUGCCUGUUCGAGCGUCAUUUCAACCAUCAAGCCCCCGGCUUGUGUUGGGGACCUGCGGCUGCCGCAGGCCCUGAAAAGCAGUGGCGGGCUCGCUGUCACACCGAGCGUAGUAGCAUACAUCUCGCUCUGGGCGUGCUGCGGGUUCCGGCCGUUAAACCACCUUCAUAACCCAAGGUUGACCUCGGAUCAGGUAGGAAUACCCGCUGAACUUAAGCAUAUCAAUAAGCGGAGGA